Molecule: RNA transcript, 3745 nt
Organism: Clupea harengus (Atlantic herring)
Lineage: Eukaryota; Metazoa; Chordata; Actinopteri; Clupeiformes; Clupeidae
Gene name: zinc finger protein 813-like
Exons: 4
Source: RefSeq, a predicted model, not a curated record
UACCACCUGAUCAUUCUAGACUGACGGUACUAUAUGUUAAGAGACGCUGGCCAAUGGCAAUAGAGCAGUAGCCGGGGCGAAACGGGGAGGUCGGAUCCAACAACACUAUAUGAAUUCAGGCAGUUAGGUUUGGAAGGUGGUAAUUUCAACCUGGCUAAAAAGUUGGCAUAAUGGGAAAUAUUGAAGAUUUUCAACGUCAGUUCACAUCUGUUAUGGAGAACCUUUUGCAUUUAGCUGUUACUGAAACGACGAAACUCUUCGAAAGUGCAGUGCAGGAAUUGAAAGCAGAGCACGCAUGGAUACAAAAACAGAACGAUAAAGAUACUCUUUGUUCAUACCAAAGAAGUAUACCGGAAUGGAGUGGAAAUCCAUGCACACGAGAUAUCGGCGUACAAGUUCGCGUAACGCCUAUGGUGGUGGAGCGGUCCUGCAGCCCUGGUUCACAACAUGAAGACACAGACAAAACCAGAUUUUCGGGUUCGUUUCCAGGUCUUUUACAGGACGAAAACCAACAGUUUACGUUGCUCUUUAUCAAGCCAGAGGAGGCAGAUAUGUAUGACUACACCCCUGCUUGUCUCUUGCCAAAGCUUGCAGAAGACUGCCCAAAACCCUUUCUGGUGCAGCAUAUUGAGGCAUCAGUUAUGUCUCAGGAAGCUGGUGUGUUACCAGUCAGACCAUCUCCAUACCAGGGUAUGCCAGAUAACGCCACAAGUCCGUUCACCCAUAAUCCCACUUCAUCCAUACCUCAAGCUGUGCAAGAGUGUGCUCUGCCAGCACCUGUUGAAACACCUCAAAGUCAAGAAUUAAAUCCCUCAGACUAUUUCCAUGCCUCUUUAGAACUGAUGACUGACACACAGAAGGAAAAGUAUGUGAGGCUGUUGCAGCCACCCACACCCACACCAACCAGUUCCCUGACAGAUGCAGCCGAUGGAAGCAUAUCUGCUACAAAGGAUGUAGCUAAACUGAGCUACCAAGGUCAGCCUAGAAGGUUAAGUGCUAGGAAGUCAAAGUCAGUAUAUCGUCCCCUGGUGGAUUUGGAAACACCUCAACACGAUGGAGAAAAUAUCCAGCAUGCAAAUGCCACCAGUGCCUCCACAUUCCAUGUUCCCACAAAGGUUCGAAAAAAAACAGGCAAGAAGAGUUACAAUUGGCCUAGCAGGAACCAGCCUGGCAAGAAUGAACAGCUCAAGAGUCAACUUGGCAGGAGCCACAGAAACGAGUACAAGUGUGAGGUGUGUGAGCGUGUCCUCAGCAGUGCCUCUCAUCUGAAGCGCCACUGGAAGGUCCACAGUGUGAUGAGAGACAGUGUAUGUUCCAAGUGUGGGAAGGUUUUUCCCACUGAGAGAAGCCUCAGUGGUCAUAUGCUUAUUCACACAUCGGACAGCUGUUAUCAGCGCUUGGAGGAUGUCGCUACUGUGGAAACAAGGCAAGCUGACGAUAAAAUAGAUCAGCAAAGCUUGGGAUCUCACCAAAAGAUUCACCAAGAUCAGUCUAGAAGGUUAAGUGCUAGGAAGUCAAAGUCAGUAUAUCGUCACCUGGUGGAUUUGGAAACACCUCAACACGAUGGAGAAAAUAUCCAGCAUGCAAAUGCCACCAGUGCCUCCACAUUCCAUGUUCCCACAAAGGUUCGAAAAAAAACAGGCAAGAAGAGUUACAAUUGGCCUAGCAGGAACCAGCCUGGCAAGAAUGAACAGCUCAAGAGUCAACUUGGCAGGAGCCACAGAAACGAGUACAAGUGUGAGGUGUGUGAGCGUGUCCUCAGCAGUGCCUCUCAUCUGAAGCGCCACUGGAAGGUCCACAGUGUGAUGAGAGACAGUGUAUGUUCCAAGUGUGGGAAGGUUUUUCCCACUGAGAGAAGCCUCAGUGGUCAUAUGCUUAUUCACACAUCGGACAGCUGUUAUCAGCGCUUGGAGGAUGUCGCUACUGUGGAAACAGAGCAAGCUGACGAUGAAAUAGAUCAGCAAAGCUUGGGAUUUCCCUCAGACCAUUUCCAUGCCACUUUAGAACUGAUGACUGACACACAGAAGGAAAAGUAUGUGAGGCUGUUGCAGCCACCCACACCCACACUAACCAGUUCCCUGACAGAUGCAGCCGAUGGAAGCGUAUCUGCUACAAAGGAUGUAGCUAAACUGAGCUACCAAGGUCAGCCUAGAAGGUUAAUGCCUAGGAAGUCAAAGUCAAUAUAUCGUCACCUGGUGGAUCUGGACACACCUAAACCCAAUGCAGAAAAUAUCCUGCAAGAAAAUGACACCAAUGCAUCCACAUGCUAUGUUCCCACAAAGGUUUGCAAGGAAACAACCAAUAAGAGUUCCAAGCAGCCUAGCAAGAACCGACCUGGCAAGCAUCAAUGUGAGGUGUGUGGGCGGGUGCUGAGCAGUGCCUCUUCUCUGGAGCACCACCAGAGAGUCCACAGGGAGAGACCCUUCGUCUGUGACGUGUGUGGAAAGACUUUUCCUGAUCGGAGUGGCCUCAGAUGUCACCUUCGUAUUCACACAGCAGCCAAGCAUCAUCAGUGCUUGGAGUGUGGCAAAACGUUCAAUUUUUUCAGUGUGCUCACGCGUCACAAGAUUACACACACAGGGGAGGGGCCAUUUUCCUGCAGCUUGUGUGGCAAACGUUUUCUGUCUGAAAUGUCGAAGGGCACUCACAUGCGCACGCACGGGGUAGAAAAGCCUCACAUCUGCACUCUGUGCGGCAAGGGAUUUUCACUACUGGGGACACUGUGGCGUCACAAGAGGACACACACUGGAGAGAAGCCUUACAGUUGCCUGACCUGUGGCAGUCGAUUUAAGGACCGCAGCUCUCUAAGAGAACACAAGCGAAUACACACUGGAGAGAAGCCAUAUCAGUGCAAGAUCUGUGGCAAAAAGUUCAGACUAUCAAGUGGUCUUCGCUAUCAUGUCAGUAAGGGCCCAUGUCAGGAAACACUAGGGUUAAUCACAGGUUUGAGUCAUAGCACAGGGAAAUGAAGAUCAUUACAUCAUAAGUCAGUGGUAUGUGAUUAGUGCCAUGCUACAAGAAUAUAAGGAUCUAUAUCAGUGGUUCCUAAACCUUUCAUGGCAGGCCCCCAGUAGACAAUUAGAAAAAAACUUCCUAUUCAAUACACAUUUUAUUGUAGGCUAUGCAAGGAGUAUAAAAAAUGACCCUUUGUUCAUUAUGCAUAAAAAAAGACUGUGUAACUGCACCCAGCCUCCUCUUAGGUUUCUGAUUUGUCCCCUUUGGAGCGGGUGCAUAUGUCAUGCAUUUUGAGGGGCAGUGCCUUAAAAAAGCGCACACAAGCUUUCAAUGUCUGUUUGUUGUGCCUUAGAAAGUGAACUAUGUGUGUAAUGUUUUGCAAAAAGUGUUUUAUAAAAUUGAAAACUGAGAAAAAGGCUGAGAAUUGGCUUAAAGUUUUGCAGAUUUUGCUGUUAAAUUGUGUUUGGCAAUUCAUGUUAUGUUUAUGCAUGUUAAUUUGUCUCUCACAUGAAUUUGUCUUUCACAUGAUUCCAAGUCAUUUGAGAACGUUACACAGUCAAGCUAUACUAAACAUCUUGAAAAAUUAUUUGGAAAAACUGCAUAAUGUUGCUUAAUAUUUAAAGCCCACCUGGGUAUAGAAUGUAUUCCUGAUUUGGUAUUUUGGUUGGAGUAUCUGUAGCUGAGAAUAAUGUUUGUCAGGAAAACUCAUUCUGUAAGUAUUUCUAUACUUUGUAUUGUUGGUGUGCUUUAACACAAAGCACAAACAUGUAAUAUAUUGAUGUUGGUUUAA